This 497-nucleotide ribosomal RNA is filed under the name uncultured bacterium. RNAcentral describes it as "partial 16S ribosomal RNA". It matches the Rfam family "Bacterial small subunit ribosomal RNA", at positions 28 to 507 of the family's 1533-position model. The record is from RNAcentral.
GAUGAACGCUGGCGGCGUGCCUAAUACAUGCAAGUCGAGCGAACAGACGAGGAGCUUGCUCCUCUGACGUUAGCGGCGGACGGGUGAGUAACACGUGGAUAACCUACCUAUAAGACUGGGAUAACUUCGGGAAACCGGAGCUAAUACCGGAUAACAUGUUGAACCGCAUGGUUCAACAGUGAAAGACGGUCUUGCUGUCACUUAUAGAUGGAUCCGCGCCGCAUUAGCUAGUUGGUAAGGUAACGGCUUACCAAGGCAACGAUGCGUAGCCGACCUGAGAGGGUGAUCGGCCACUCUGGAACUGAGACACGGUCCAGACUCCUACGGGAGGCAGCAGUAGGGAAUCUUCCGCAAUGGGCGAAAGCCUGACGGAGCAACGCCGCGUGAGUGAAGAAGGUCUUCGGAUCGUAAAACUCUGUUAUUAGGGAAGAACAAAUGUGUAAGUAACUAUGCACGUCUUGACGGUACCUAAUCAGAAAGCCACGGCUAACUACGUG